Molecule: RNA transcript, 3671 nt
Organism: Actinia tenebrosa (Australian red waratah sea anemone)
Lineage: Eukaryota; Metazoa; Cnidaria; Anthozoa; Actiniaria; Actiniidae
Gene name: importin-11
Source: RefSeq, a predicted model, not a curated record
UUCACAUGUGGAGUAUAACUUUGUCUUCACUGCCUUCAUGUUCAUAAAUAGCAAUGCUUAACCCCAAAAUACAGUCAAAGAUACGUCCAUUUGGUUUAAUUAUCUAGCAUUCUUUGAAGCAGUGAAAAAAUUACGGCUUGAAACGUUAAGUGUUGUACUCACGUGGUCUGAGCAAGAGCUCACUAGGACCUCUUUUUAUCAUUGAAGCAUCUUUUUUUCUCUUUUAACGUAUGAAAGUGGAGUAUAAUAAUGGAGAGCGCAUGAGGCAACUUGAACUAUAGCAAAAAUAUAAGUAUUUACAGCUUUGAAGUACAUAACUUUACAGAAAACUCACUGGCAGCGUGAUAAAUUAUGGAAGAGUCAGGAGUAGUGGGUAUUGAAGCUAUUUUUGAAACUCUACAACACGCAUGUAGCCAGAAUCCUGAGUUACUUAAGCCAGCUGAACAGAGGCUACAUUCAUGGGAGACGCGACAUGGCUUUUAUACUGCAUUAAUGCACAUAUUUUCCAAUCGAUCAAUGGAUGCCAACAUUCGAUGGUUAGCUAUCCUUUACAUUAAGAAUGGUGUGGAUAGAUAUUGGAGGAAAAAUGCCCCAAAGGCUAUCCCAGAAGAGGAGAAAGCAAUGAUGAGACACCAGUUGAUAUUGUCAUUAGAUGAGCCUGUUCAUCAGAUCGCAACACAAGUAGCAGUUUUAAUUUCAAAGAUUGCAAGACUUGAAUUGCAUAGUUGGCCAGAACUUUUUCCUGCUCUGUUUGAGGGAGUUCAGAACCCUUCGUUUUUAGUAAAGCACAGAUCUUUACUGGUCUUGAACCAUGUAACCAAGAUGUUGUCGUCUAAGAGACUGGCCAAUGAUAGGCAACUAUUCAGACAGUUAUCUGAGAGCAUCUAUGCAUCUAUACUUGAUCUGUGGGAAGCUCAUUCUACUUUGUGUUUUGAAAAAGUACACCAACAGGCAUCAAAUAUCGAAGAGUCCUUAGAACUAAGUAUAUUGUUAGUAAAAGUCCUCAGGAAACUCACUGUUCAUGGCCACAGAGGAUUUACUCCUGAUUCCAAGCCAAUGGUAUUUCUUAGCACAAGUUUUGACAAGAUUAGACUGUUUUUGGAAUGUCGGAGACAGCUAGGCCACAGCCAAAAGUUAAAUGAAAUGGUGGAAAAAAUAGCAAAGCUUUUAAGCAAGUCUCUUUUGGACAGCUUGGAUCACCACCCAUCGUCUUUCAUCCCAUUGGUGCAAAAGAGUCUAGAGUUCUGUGUCACUUAUUUAUUUAACUCAGAGGCAGCAGGACUUGGGUUUGAGUUGUUUCUUGUUCAGUGUUGUAACAUUGUGAGAGCCAUUCUGCGCUGUGACGUCUACCGUCCACCCAAGGAAAUUAAAGAAAGUACUCCACAAGAAACUAUUGCAGUUCAUCAGGUUAAGAUGUCAUUUUUCACGCCAUCAGUGUUGACAGAAAUCAUACAACGACUUGUGAUGCAUUUCUUUUUGUUAAAAGAGGAGGAAUUAGAAAACUGGGAGUCAGAUCCAGAAGAUUUUGUAAAUGAAGAAGUUGGGGAAUCAUGGCGAUAUCAGUUGAGGCCAAGCACAGAAGUCCUGUAUCUUACUUUGUUUGCAGAGUUCAGAACUAUAGUCACACCAGUGGUGGUCAACAUGAUUCAUACGGUACAAGUGUCUCCAGAUUCUGAAGACAUGAACUUUUUACUUCAAAAAGACGCUGUAUACACUGCAGCUGGCUUGGCGUCGUAUGACUUAUUUGGAGAAGUUGACUUUGACGCUUGGUUCAAAGACUAUCUUUUAAGGGAAAUGCAUACGACGUCAUCCAGAACAAAAUUACUUCGACGUCGUGUGCCGUGGCUUGUUGGUCAGUGGGUCAACGUGAAGAUGUCUGCUUCAGUUCGUCCCUUGAUAUAUGAAUCACUUAUCUACCUCAUGCAGGAACACGAGGAUCUGGUGGUUCGACUAACAGCAGCAAAUACAAUGAAGACUGUUGUUGAUGACGUCGAAUUCCAUCUCGAUGACUUUGAACCGUUCAUCAAUGGAAGUUUUACGUCCCUCUUUCAUCUGUUGCGACAAGUUUCAGAAUGUGACACUAAGAUGCACGUCCUCCAUGUAUUAUCAACCCUGAUUGAAAGAGUGGACUCAAAGGUCCGUCCCUUCGCGGGUUUAUUAACAAUGUACCUGCCUCAUCUAUGGGAUGAAUCUGAACAACACAAUAUGCUACGGUGCGCAAUACUUGCCACGCUCAAUCAUCUCAUACAGGGCUUGGGAACAGAAAGUGUCAGUUUGUAUCCUUUUCUUCUUCCUAUCAUCCAGCUAAGCACUGAUAUCACACAGCCACCGCACGUUUAUCUGUUGGAAGAUGGACUAGAGCUUUGGCAAAAGACGAUUGAAAAUGCAAACAAAUUGACUCCAGAGCUUCUCCAUUUGUUCAGCAACAUGCCUGCGUUAAUGGAAAUCAGCAGUGAAAACUUAAGAACUUGCUUUGGAAUARUCGACCGUUAUCUUCUUUUAGACGGGAAAGAAUUUCUUAAGAAUUUCGGUACGUCCGUGGUUCGUUCCUGCGAGAACAUGGUGGGGAAUAUCAAACCUGAAGGAGGAAUCAUUAUAGCCAAGGUUAUCGAGACCAUUGUCAAAUCUUUUCCUGUGGAAGGAGUGCAGUUGUUGCAGCCAGUUCUCAUCAAGAUGUUUAAACUGAUUUUUGAAGAAGAGGAACACACACCGUUGCUAGUCAUCUAUUUAUGUAUUUUUGGAGAAAUCAUUCUAAAGAAUCCCUCCUACUUCUCGGACUUUAUUGAAAUGAUGGCAGGAAUGUCCCAUGCGCAGAGCGUGGACCUUCUUGGACAGUUUUUAGAUGUCUGUCUGGACAAGCUUGACUCGAUGACUCGACUGGAAAGAAGAAAACUAAUGGUGAUGGCGCUAUCUUCACUUUUACCUGUAAAUUCGAAAUGUGUAACAGAGAGAUUUGCAGUCAUCCUGGAUGCAGUUGUGGAUGUUUUACACGAGAUUCAUCGGUGUGAAGAAGGAGUACAUACAGAUUGCCUCGUACUUUUUACUGAUGAGGAUGUUCCGAAUGAUGAGUCAGAAUCGGAAAACCAACUGAGAAAAAAGAAGUUGACCUUAUCGGAUCCAGUGCAUCGUAUUCCUCUGUGGCAGUUUGUUGGUGCUAAGCUUAAAGAGAGCCAAUCAGCGCACGGUGAUGUCGUGUUCCAAUCAUGUAUGGAAUGCCUAGACUCUGCCGUAGCAGAGCAACUCUUCUCAUUUAUCAAUCACUAAGAUGAAGGGUGUAUUUCACUAUUCUAGGACUACAACAUAUCAUUAUGACCCCACCCAAGAUGUAUUUUUCAAAUGAAAAGUCUGGUGUACAUUUGGUUCCAGCCUGACAUGGAUUUGAUGAACAUGGGUUCUAUAAGACAAGAAUUCAUCUUAACACUUAAUUCAAACGUCCUAUGCCCCAAAUUGGUAAAGAUGCGACAAAAUUCGAUUGGAUUGGAUUCCUUCGAAGCUUCGUUGUUUAGCUGAGUUUAGCUGUGGAAAAUAAUACACCUCUUUAGAUUGUAUUAUAGUUUCCCCAUGUCCGACGACGUGCUAUUCUCUUGAGUGUCAUUUCUCUGUUUGGAUGUUUCAAUUCCGAGCAAGAGGCUUGGAGCGAGUUUUGAAUUUCAAAUAAAUUUAUAGCAAAA